GCCGAGGCUCUGAAGUGGGUAAUUGCAGACCACAGCUAGGCUGGAAUGCUGUGUUUGGGGUGGUCAUUAGAGUCGUGGUCUCUUUAGCGUUAUGAAGCCUACCUUGACUCCUAGGUGUUCAUUGUGAAUCUUGUUGGUGCUGGUAUCGCUGUACCUCUCAAAUAGCUUCCCCAUUUUGACUAAGAAUGAAGAACUUCUUGGACAAAGAACUUGUAAAAAUCAGCCUUCUGCCCCAGCGUCUUCUCCAAAGAUACAGGAGCUUGCUGGACCCACUUGCAAGGGAAGCCUGGAAGUUGGGGAGUUAAUGUCUUCACGGCACUCUCAAUCAGUGAGGCAUGAG
RNAcentral lists this long non-coding RNA (340 nucleotides) under Homo sapiens (human). Its description in RNAcentral is "HSALNT0209640". Lineage: Eukaryota; Metazoa; Chordata; Mammalia; Primates; Hominidae. The record is from RNAcentral.